UGCGUAGGCGGCGCGGUAAGUCGGGUGUGAAAUCUCGGAGCUUAACUCCGAAACUGCAUUCGAUACUGCCGUGCUUGAGGACUGGAGAGGAGACUGGAAUUUACGGUGUAGCGGUGAAAUGCGUAGAUAUCGUAAGGAAGACCAGUGGCGAAGGCGGGUCUCUGGACAGUUCCUGACGCUGAGGCACGAAGGGUCAGGGAGCAAAC
This 206-nucleotide ribosomal RNA is filed under the name uncultured bacterium. RNAcentral's name for it is "partial 16S ribosomal RNA". It matches the Rfam family "Bacterial small subunit ribosomal RNA", at positions 568 to 773 of the family's 1533-position model. The record is from RNAcentral.